Molecule: ribosomal RNA, 450 nt
Filed under: uncultured Glomeromycotina
Lineage: Eukaryota; Fungi; Glomeromycota
Description: SSU rRNA
Rfam family: Eukaryotic small subunit ribosomal RNA
Source: RNAcentral
AGCAGCCGCGGUAAUUCCAGCUCCAAUAGCGUAUAUUAAAGUUGUUGCAGUUAAAAAGCUCGUAGUUGAAUUUCGGGGUCAAUACGUCGGUCGUGCCUUCGGUACGUACUGGUGUUAUUGAUCUCUCCCUUCUGAUGAAUCAUGAUGUCAUUAAUUUGGUGUCGUGGGGAGUCAGGACUGUUACUUUGAAAAAAUUAGAGUGUUUAAAGCAGGCUCACGCUUGAAUACAUUAGCAUGGAAUAAUGAAAUAGGACGUUCGACCCUAUUUUGUUGGUUUCUAGGAUCAACGUAAUGAUUAAUAGGGAUAGUUGGGGGCAUUAGUAUUCAAUUGUCAGAGGUGAAAUUCUUGGAUUUAUUGAAGACUAACUACUGCGAAAGCAUUUGCCAAGGAUGUUUUCAUUAAUCAAGAACGAAAGUUAGGGGAUCGAAGACGAUCAGAUACCGUCGUAG